CUCGUAGGCGGUUCGGCAAGUCGGAUGUGAAAUCUCCACGCUCAACGUGGAGGGGCCAUUCGAAACUGCCGUGACUCGAGUCCGGUAGGGGAGUGUGGAAUUCCCGGUGUAGCGGUGAAAUGCGCAGAUAUCGGGAGGAACACCAGUAGCGAAGGCGGCACUCUGGGCCGGUACUGACGCUGAGGAGCGAAAGCGUGGGGAGCGAACA
This 208-nucleotide ribosomal RNA is filed under the name uncultured bacterium. Its description in RNAcentral is "partial 16S ribosomal RNA". It matches the Rfam family "Bacterial small subunit ribosomal RNA", at positions 568 to 774 of the family's 1533-position model. The record is from RNAcentral.